CCUACGGGUGGCUGCAGUGAGGAAUAUUGGUCAAUGGGCGGGAGCCUGAACGAGCCAAGUCGCGUGAAGGAAGAAGGUACUUAGUAUUUUAAACUUCUUUUGUCGGGGAACAAAGGCGUAGACGCGUCUCCGGAUUAGUGUACCCGAAGAAACAGCAUCGGCUCACUCCGUGCCAGCAGCCCCGGUAAUACGGGGGAUGCGAGCGGUAUCCGGAUUUAUUUGGUUUAAAGGGUGCGCAGGCGGGAGAUUAAGUCAGCGGUAAAAUGUCGGGGCUCAACCCAGGCCGGCCGUGGAAACUGGUUUUCUAGAGUGGGAGAGAAGUAUGCGGAAUUCGUGGUGUAGCGGUGAAAUGCGUAGAUAUCACGAAGAACUCCGAUGGCGAAGGCAGCAUACCGGCUCCAUACUGACGCUGAGGCACGAAAGCGUGGGGAUCGAACAGGAUUAGAUACCCCAGUAGUC
RNAcentral lists this ribosomal RNA (459 nucleotides) under uncultured bacterium. Its description in RNAcentral is "partial 16S ribosomal RNA". It matches the Rfam family "Bacterial small subunit ribosomal RNA", at positions 338 to 795 of the family's 1533-position model. The record is from RNAcentral.